AAGAGACGAAGAUAAAGAAUGAGCUGUGAGCGCCGAGCUGGGAGGAAACCUCGGAGGGAGAAGAGAAGCUGUUAAAUUGAACUGAGCUGUUGACACAAAGCUGCUGGCCUCUGAGGGUGAAUUGGGAUGCUGUUGCUGGUAGUAUGCAUUGUUGCCCUGUUAGGCUUCGUUUUCACAGGGACAGAAGCUUCAGGCAGGAACCCCUGGAGCCUGCUGUCAAGGAGGACCUUGUAGUGGAGCAGUCCCCAUGAGCUGAGACCCGGUGCAGGAGCAGAGAGCUGCCUACGUGUGAAUCCAGGCAAGAGUCAGGAGCAGUCAGCCUACAGAGGAAGAGCCACGGGGCUUGGAAGUCAACCUAGAGUCAAGAUGAAAGAAGACUUUACUGGGAUGCUUGUGACCACAUGGACGCUUUGGUGAAGAUGCCAUUCUCACUGCUGAGAAGCUUAUACUUUGAAAGAAGGAGGAGUCAUCGACUAUGGAGCUAGAAGAGGUCAACUUGCUCCCUGUGGAUUUUGAUGACACUGUCAAGCUCAGUAAGAACAGCCAUCGGUGAGAUCAGAAAAAUUCUCCUUCAAGCACCUGAAAGAGUGAAAACAUCACGUCUGGUGGGUCUUAAUGGUCCCGGCACAGAACAUGGGAAACGCCCCAAACCUAAUUUUCUGGCAAAUCCCAUAACAAUGUCUGGGAUUAAAAGAGCAGGAACCAAAGAACUAUUUGAUUGCUCAAGAUAUGGAUUCCAGGAUGAUUGACAGAAGUUCAGAAUAACAUACCAUCUUGGGGAGAAAGGAGGAGAAGGAAGGGAGAAAAUUUAAAACUCAAAAUCAUAUGGAAGUGAAUGUUAAAAACUAAAAACAAUUAAUUAAUUUUUUAAAAAGAUGUUCAGAAUGAAAUGUAAACAAAAGGAAAUGUUCUACACCCAACAGACUGACACAUCUUCCAAGUUCUGAGAUUAUUUCAGUUGUAAAACAGAAAGAGGAAAGAAUAGGAGGGCUAUUGACUUGAGACAUGUGACUUAGGGCUCUUGAAAGUUUUCUCUGCCUUCGCUCUACUUUGAAUACCUCUCAAACUUAGAAAUGUUAUCACACUACCUUGUUUUUGCUUACAUAUGGUUAGAGAAUACCUCUUUUGUCAUCCCCUUCCUCUUAGUCAUCUUCAAUCUCUCCCUAUCUACUGGUUUCUUCCACGCUGCCUAAAAUCAUGCUUGUGUCUACUCCUCAUCCUUAUAAAAAAAAAAAACUUCUCUUAAUCCAAACAUCCCUGAGAGCUAUCAUCCCAUAUCUCUUUUCCCAGUCUCAUCUAUAGUCUGUGCCUUCCGUCUGAGAUCCCUGUAUAUACUGUAUUUACACAGUUAUUUGUAUGCUGCCUCCUCCAUGACAAAGUGAGCAUCUUGAGGGCAGGGACUGUAGUUGCCUUCCUUUUUACCUCCAGGGCUUAACACUGUUUCUGGCACGUGGUAGGCACUUAAUAAACAUUUGUUGAUUUGUUUUGACUUGAUCUGA
Long non-coding RNA from Trichosurus vulpecula (common brushtail), 1499 nucleotides. RefSeq lists it as uncharacterized. NCBI's taxonomy places the organism in Eukaryota, Metazoa, Chordata, Mammalia, Diprotodontia, Phalangeridae. The transcript is spliced from 3 exons. The record is from RefSeq and is a predicted model, not a curated record.